RNAcentral lists this unclassified non-coding RNA (1191 nucleotides) under Hevea brasiliensis (rubber tree). The record is from RNAcentral. Lineage: Eukaryota; Viridiplantae; Streptophyta; Magnoliopsida; Malpighiales; Euphorbiaceae.
UUAAGUGAUUCAAGAGCCUUCUUCCUCAACUCAGUCUCAAGUUUUUUCUGCUCAGAAUGUGUAUCUUCACCAUCACUUGGAUCUCUUCUCCCAGCAAGUUCAUCACAUCAUCAGAAGAAUUAACAUCAUUUAGAUCCUUCAACUUGAGCUUCUCUGCACGGUGUUUUUUCCUUCUACGACGUCGCUCCUCACGCCGCCGAUAUUUUUCCUCUUUUCGCAGUUUCUUUUCUUCCUUGCUCCUCCUCUUAGCCUCUUUCCUUUCUUCAUAUUCAGAAUCAUAGCUGUAAUUAUCAUCUGAAGCCAUUUCUUCUCUAUAUGAUCUUUUAUGCUUUCGCCUUUCCUUUAUUCUCAGUUCUGCGCUGGUCACUUUCCUCAGAACCAGAAUCAAAUGCACCAACACCACCAUUACUAUGAUCAGCUUUUUCGACUGAUAUUUGUGUAGUUUCUGACUUACGUUGCCUAUCACUGUCCUUAACCUUGUUUGAAUUUGAAUGGUUUCUCUCAUCAGAGUUUUUACCCUCUCCCACAAAAGGCAUUUGCCUCUUCCCCAGCAAAUGGUCCUCAUAUGCAGUUGGAGAUUUCUGCCCUUCAGGAGUUUCAGGAUAAGCCCCCUUCCGAGAACACUUUUCAAUCUUUAUUUCCUUGUCUUUCUUCCUUGAUUCCGCAAUAUCAAGACGGCUCUGAGAUUUAGUAAGUCGAUGACCCGCCACUCUUUCAGAAGAGUGCUCAUCCUUCAAAUGGAUCUCCACAGGAGAAUCUUUCUGCUUACUGGUGAUGGAUGAAAGCAUAGAACAUUUCUGUGAAGACCUGGAUUUAUAAUCCCGAGCAUGAUCAGUAUCUUCAUCCUCUUUGCUAGAUGGACUUUCUUGAUAAGGUUUCUGCUCUUUUGGCUUCUGUGGAGGGCUUAAGCUGUUAUCAUAUGUAAUUUGCCCCCUUCUUUGCCUCACAGGGCUCCUAGAUGAACUAGAAGACCUAUUUCUUCUCCCUUUUCUUUGCCUCGCAAGGCUCACAUAUGGAUGAGUUGACCUUCUGUCCUCACUAGAAAUCCUAUUCCUAGUAGGUGGUGGAGAAUCUGACCGAACUGAAGACAUCUCUGGUGAAGGCGACAAAGAUGGUGAUUUAUCAUGCAAAUCCUUCUGAUUCUUUGAAUAUCUUGGCGGUGACCUCAAAGAACUAAUGGAUCGACGCAGC